This 484-nucleotide ribosomal RNA is filed under the name uncultured bacterium. Its description in RNAcentral is "partial 16S ribosomal RNA". It matches the Rfam family "Bacterial small subunit ribosomal RNA", at positions 30 to 507 of the family's 1533-position model. The record is from RNAcentral.
AUUGAACGCUGGCGGCAGGCCUAACACAUGCAAGUCGAGCGGAUGAAGGGAGCUUGCUCCUGGAUUCAGCGGCGGACGGGUGAGUAAUGCCUAGGAAUCUGCCUGGUAGUGGGGGAUAACGUCCGGAAACGGGCGCUAAUACCGCAUACGUCCUGAGGGAGAAAGUGGGGGAUCUUCGGACCUCACGCUAUCAGAUGAGCCUAGGUCGGAUUAGCUAGUUGGUGGGGUAAAGGCCUACCAAGGCGACGAUCCGCAACUGGUCUGAGAGGAUGAUCAGUCACACUGGAACUGAGACACGGUCCAGACUCCUACGGGAGGACGCAGUGGGGAAUAUUGGACAAUGGGCGAAAGCCUGAUCCAGCCAUGCCGCGUGUGUGAAGAAGGUCUUCGGAUUGUAAAGCACUUUAAGUUGGGAGGAAGGGCAGUAAGUUAAUACCUUGCUGUUUUGACGUUACCAACAGAAUAAGCACCGGCUAACUUCGUG